UGAGGAAUAUUGGUCAAUGGGCGCAGGCCUGAACCAGCCAAGUAGCGUGAAGGAUGACUGCCCUAUGGGUUGUAAACUUCUUUUAUAAAGGAAUAAAGUCGGGUAUGUAUACCCGUUUGCAUGUACUUUAUGAAUAAGGAUCGGCUAACUCCGUGCCAGCAGCCGCGGUAAUACGGAGGAUCCGAGCGUUAUCCGGAUUUAUUGGGUUUAAAGGGAGCGUAGAUGGAUGUUUAAGUCAGUUGUGAAAGUUUGCGGCUCAACCGUAAAAUUGCAGUUGAUACUGGAUAUCUUGAGUGCAGUUGAGGCAGGCGGAAUUCGUGGUGUAGCGGUGAAAUGCUUAGAUAUCACGAAGAACUCCGAUUGCGAAGGCAGCCUGCUAAGCUGCAACUGACAUUGAGGCUCGAAAGUGUGGGUAUCAAACAGGAUUAGAUACCCUGGUAGUCCACACGGUAAACGAUGAAUACUCGCUGUUUGCGAUAUACUGCAAGCGGCCAAGCGAAAGCGUUAAGUAUUCCACCUGGGGAGUACGCCGGCAACGGUGAAACUCAAAGGAAUUGACGGGGGCCCGCACAAGCGGAGGAACAUGUGGUUUAAUUCGAUGAUACGCGAGGAACCUUACCCGGGCUUAAAUUGCAGAUGAAUUACGGUGAAAGCCGUAAGCCGCAAGGCAUCUGUGAAGGUGCUGCAUGGUUGUCGUCAGCUCGUGCCGUGAGGUGUCGGCUUAAGUGCCAUAACGAGCGCAACCCUUGUUGUCAGUUACUAACAGGUUCCGCUGAGGACUCUGACAAGACUGCCAUCGUAAGAUGUGAGGAAGGUGGGGAUGACGUCAAAUCAGCACGGCCCUUACGUCCGGGGCUACACACGUGUUACAAUGGGGGGUACAGAAGGCCGCUACCUGGUGACAGGAUGCCAAUCCCAAAAACCUCUCUCAGUUCGGAUCGAAGUCUGCAACCCGACUUCGUGAAGCUGGAUUCGCUAGUAAUCGCGCAUCAGCCAUGGCGCGGUGAAUACGUUCCC
Molecule: ribosomal RNA, 1017 nt
Filed under: uncultured bacterium
Lineage: Bacteria
Description: bacterial SSU rRNA
Rfam family: Bacterial small subunit ribosomal RNA
Source: RNAcentral